Phragmites australis (common reed) is the source of this 719-nucleotide long non-coding RNA. RefSeq lists it as uncharacterized. NCBI's taxonomy places the organism in Eukaryota, Viridiplantae, Streptophyta, Magnoliopsida, Poales, Poaceae. The record is from RefSeq and is a predicted model, not a curated record. The transcript is spliced from 4 exons.
UCACCGAGCCACCCUCCCCGCCCCUCCGCCAGAUCUCCACGCGACUGAUCCAUGGAGGCGGAACCCCACGAAGGCACAGGUGCAGGCACGGGAGACUCCUCGCAGCGUGGUGGGAGGUGAUGGCGGUGGUGCGAGCUCGUUGCCCAUGGUCAAGCUUGCCGCUGGCGUGCGUAGCACAGCUGCCAGAAAAGGAUGCCCCGGAGUAGGCGUCGCGCGAGCUACAGAUGGAACUGAAGGUGGAGUGCGCGUCAACGCAGGAGGCACGGCAGCAGGCGCAGCUGCGCCCUAGCCUAGCGGCCGCGGUGACGGGCUGAUGGCGUGAGCAAGUCCUGGGUGGCGUGAGAGGCCAGCAGCAGAAGCUAGCAGGUCGCCGCCAUCACCUGCCGAAGGUCACUCUGCCAGGCCACCGCUGCCUGCUCAGGCUGCUGGAUGCUAUCAUGCUAACGCUGCACUGCUGCCUGCUGGACUUCUUUGCCCUUUGAUAGUUCAAUUCGAUAUGUCUUGUACUGCUGGAUGCCUUCAAGUUCAAUUGUACUUCUGCUACUGCAAUAGCUCCAGGAACUUGCAUAUACUUCAAAUUGUUCUGGAGAUUGAUGAUGAAUUGCAGAAUUGAUUAUUGAUUUCAGAACAAAAUGUAGAUUGAAGCUGCAGCUCUAAUUUUAGAAGAGGAAGAGGAAAUCUAGAAAAUACGUCUGAAUAAUCUUAUUCGACAGGCAAGU